Molecule: ribosomal RNA, 812 nt
Filed under: Bacillus subtilis
Lineage: Bacteria; Bacillati; Bacillota; Bacilli; Caryophanales; Bacillaceae
Description: bacterial SSU rRNA
Rfam family: Bacterial small subunit ribosomal RNA
Source: RNAcentral
UCCCUGAUGUUAGCGGCGGACGGGUGAGUAACACGUGGGUAACCUGCCUGUAAGACUGGGAUAACUCCGGGAAACCGGGGCUAAUACCCGAUGGUUGUUUGAACCGCAUGGUUCAAACAUAAAAGGUGGCUUCGGCUACCACUUACAGAUGGACCCGCGGCGCAUUAGCUAGUUGGUGAGGUAACGGCUCACCAAGGCAACGAUGCGUAGCCGACCUGAGAGGGUGAUCGGCCACACUGGGACUGAGACACGGCCCAGACUCCUACGGGAGGCAGCAGUAGGGAAUCUUCCGCAAUGGACGAAAGUCUGACGGAGCAACGCCGCGUGAGUGAUGAAGGUUUUCGGAUCGUAAAGCUCUGUUGUUAGGGAAGAACAAGUACCGUUCGAAUAGGGCGGUACCUUGACGGUACCUAACCAGAAAGCCACGGCUAACUACGUGCCAGCAGCCGCGGUAAUACGUAGGUGGCAGCGUUGUCCGGAAUUAUUGGGCGUAAGGGCUCGCAGGCGGUUUCUUAAGUCUGAUGUGAAAGCCCCCGGCUCAACCGGGGAGGGUCAUUGGAAACUGGGGAACUUGAGUGCAGAAGAGGAGAGUGGAAUUCCACGUGUAGCGGUGAAAUGCGUAGAGAUGUGGAGGAACACCAGUGGCGAAGGCGACUCUCUGGUCUGUAACUGACGCUGAGGAGCGAAAGCGUGGGGAGCGAACAGGAUUAGAUACCCUGGUAGUCCACGCCGUAAACGAUGAGUGCUAAGUGUUAGGGGGUUUCCGCCCCUUAGUGCUGCAGCUAACGCAUUAAGCACUCCGCCUGGGGAGU